Nerophis ophidion (straightnose pipefish) is the source of this 1067-nucleotide long non-coding RNA. RefSeq lists it as uncharacterized. The transcript is spliced from 3 exons. The record is from RefSeq and is a predicted model, not a curated record. Lineage: Eukaryota; Metazoa; Chordata; Actinopteri; Syngnathiformes; Syngnathidae.
GCAGAACACAGUGUCACGUAGCAACUGGUCUUUACGGUCGUUUGAAUCAACAGGUCAGUUUGGGGGACAAAAGGAGGGUUCAGUUUUUACUGACUUCCCAUCUGACAGUUUAAAUGUUUAUGACCGUUUGAAUCAACAGGACACGCACGCACACACACACACACGCACGCACACACACACACACACACACACAUACACACACACACGCACACACACACACACACACACACACACACACACCAUUACCUCUGCUUUACCAUGUUAUUAGACAUUGGUUUAACUCCAUUUAAGCAUUUAAACGUUAAAAGCAUUGCACUUGUACGACGUUGUAAUACUUUUUUUUUACCAGCCGAUGACGACGAAGUGAAAGACGAUGAACUUUGCUUAAACGGUCUUACAAAGUUGGAAGAUGAUUUUCGAGGUGUGUUUAAACCUUCAAAUUAUUUAAUAUUAUGUGUAUUCAUUAUUUAGUUUCAUAGAGGAUUUGCCGUAAGAUCCUAACGCGAUCGUUUUAACACAAUCGCAGUCUGCUGGCGGGUCCGUCAACGGCCGUUCCAGGCAGAGGAGAAGGCUUGAUUGCGCCAAAGACUCCAGACAUCGAAUCCUUGCUCCGAGGGGAAAUCAUCGAAAACGACGGUGAAUGUCCAACAGGCACCCGCUAUUGGUAGCACUGGACAAGUCGGAUAUCCUUGCUUGGAUCCUUUUAAAGUUGCCCGAUAAACUGCUGAGAGUUGAUCUCUCCUCUUGUCCAAAGGUUUUUCGUUCAUUUUUACUUGUAAUACUGGCACUAGGGUUGAUGUAGUAGCUCCACAACAUAACCUUAAAGCCUGUGACUGGAUCCGGUCUAUUUUUCCCAAGUCAUGUUUUUGAAGCAGAUUGGUAAAUAAUGCAUCCGUAAUCAAUAACAGAUGGAAUUAAAGUUAUAAAUAUAUACAUGUAUUGUUUUCAACGUUAACCUAUCAGCCCCCCAAUCAUUACCCCUCAAAGCCCUCAUUAUAUUUAACACCUUUUUACUUUUUCCCCUAUUUUUUUAUUUUCCGGAAGGAACACUCCUGAAGGAAUAAAUA